This 368-nucleotide ribosomal RNA is filed under the name Stalita pretneri. RNAcentral's name for it is "partial large subunit ribosomal RNA". It matches the Rfam family "Bacterial large subunit ribosomal RNA", at positions 1934 to 2600 of the family's 2925-position model. The record is from RNAcentral. Lineage: Eukaryota; Metazoa; Arthropoda; Arachnida; Araneae; Dysderidae.
CUGCAGCUCACGCUGUACUAAGGUAGCACAAUCACUUGCCUUAUAAUUUAAGGACCGUAUGAAAGAAAUAACGAAUUCUAAACUCUAUCAAAAGUUAAUACUAAAAUUUUAAUAAAAGUAAAAAUACUCUUAAACAAUAAAAAGACGACAAGACCCUAUGAACUAAACUAAAGUUUUACUGGGGCGGUUAAAUAAAAAAAUCUUACUAAUUAAGACAUAAAAUAAAUAAGUUACCUUAGGGAUAACAGCACAAUUUACUUUUAAAGUUCUUAUUUAAAAGCAAGAUUAUGACCUCGAUGUUGAAUUAAAAAAUCUAUAACUAUGCAAUAAUAGUAAAAGAUAGUCUGUUCGACUAUUAAAAUUUUACA